GCGGACCAGCGGACGAGCAAGCCGUGAGUCGCAGGCGUCCAAGCUCUAAAGCCCCAUACCGACGUCAAGUGUAAACGAUAUUCGCAAACGUGGAUCAGUUGACAUUUGACAGCGCGCGUGCUUGCACGUUCCUCAGGGGCUAAACGGCCUACAGCUCUGGCGGCAUUAAAGUUCGACAGCUUUACGUUUGGAGAAACGUGGAGAAACGCUGGCAAACAUAAAUCGUGGUUUUGGUGCGCUCAUUAAAAACAUGUUUGACAUAGAAAUGCGUGUUUUUGAAAAACUGCAAAAAAUUUAAAUAAUUCAAUUUGGCGAAAGGCCCCUUUGGCCCACGCAUUGCGUAUACGUAGCAUUAUCUGAUCAUCCGGCUUCAACGCGCACACAGCCACAACAACAACCAUAAUAAUAAUAAUAAUGACAUUGUGAUGUUCAAGGCUUUAAUGUGAUUUAAAAAUAUGACAACCGCAGCAUCAGCAGUAGCGGCAG
RNAcentral lists this small RNA (486 nucleotides) under Drosophila virilis. Its description in RNAcentral is "GJ25887". Lineage: Eukaryota; Metazoa; Arthropoda; Insecta; Diptera; Drosophilidae. The record is from RNAcentral.